Non-coding RNA from Nicotiana tabacum (common tobacco), 1169 nucleotides. NCBI's taxonomy places the organism in Eukaryota, Viridiplantae, Streptophyta, Magnoliopsida, Solanales, Solanaceae. The record is from RefSeq and is a predicted model, not a curated record.
ACAUAAUCCGGAUAACAUAGGUAACAAAAGAAACAGGGAACGUAUAUGAAGUCAUAUUAAAAUUUUAGAAAAAAAAGUUUUCAAGAUAUCAACCUGGAUUCUAUUAUACAAACAAAGAGUCGUGGAAACUCACUUCCUCAAAGGAAUAACUUUCAAAUUCCAUCAGCUUUAGCUCAUUCUGCCACAGAGAUCAAAUCUUUUGCGAUGUGCCACCCUUAUUGGUCUCCCCAUAAAACGAAUAGAUGUCCUUGAGGUCGAUCAUAGCAGCGACAGUACUGAAACGGUUUUGAAAUAUCUCGACACCCCGGCCUGUUUGGAGCGACUUCUCAACAAGCUCUGAGUAUGUGAACAUCUAUUCGUUUGAGAAUUCAAAAGUUGAACUGCUUUUCGUAAAGCUAUUGUUUGCUUGCACUCCAUCUUUGGUAAGGAUGUGCAUUCAGCAGGUCAAACAUACUAUUUUUCUGUUUUUUUCUAUUUGGGAUUAAUGUUCGCGAUGAUGAAUCGCAUUUUGUUUUGUUUUCCUUAGGCAGUAGUAAUGAAACCUGCAUCUCAAUAGCUAUGGCGUGUCAUCUAUUGUUUUGAUUUAUCUGUGUUUCUCUCUUUUAUUUUAUAGACUAAACUUGCUAAGUCAAUGUUGCUUCCUGGUGAAGCAUAUCUUAUGUAUGUGAGUUUACAUGAGUGUUUACGGUCAAAAUCGGUUUUGCCCUUCGUGUAAUUAGUCAAGAUUGGAACAUGAUGGACCAAGGGUCGUCUUCAUAAUAUCGAGAUGAGAUCCGACACCAGGAUAUCAAAUUCAAGAUUCAGGGACCGAUCAAUACCGAGCUCAAAGUCAAUAUCGAGCUCGAGUCAAUACCGAGCCCGAAUCGAUAUCGAGUUCGAGUCAAUACCGAGCCCGGGUCAAUAUCGAGCCCGAGUCAAUACCGAGCCCGAGUCAAUAUCGAGCUCGAGUCGAUAUUGAGCUCGAGAUCCGAUAUCGAUCAGUACCAAGACCAACCAAGAUCGAGCUAUGAGACAAAGAGCCAUUGUAGCCGCACUUAGGGAGAGAAUCUCGGCGGGAAUCAAGGAAAAGUUAAUUAAUUAAUCUAUCAUGAGAUCUCCACUAUGUAUUUUUUUAUUAUAUCCAAAGCAAGAUUUUUUCACUAUAUUAAGAGUGAGUAUCAUUUCUAAAA